This is a non-coding RNA of Python bivittatus (Burmese python), 852 nucleotides long. NCBI's taxonomy places the organism in Eukaryota, Metazoa, Chordata, Lepidosauria, Squamata, Pythonidae. The record is from RefSeq and is a predicted model, not a curated record.
UGUGUGUGUGUGUGUGUGUGUAUAUAAUUCCUCCAAAUGCUGGAGAGGUUGUCAAAAAAAAAAGUCAUUUUUUCACUUGUGGUCGUGUGAUAAAGUUACACCCUUCUGGCAAAAGUUUUUUUGGAGAGGCUCUCCUUCUCCUUCUUAAAUUAUAAUUGCCAUAGAAGAACUCUGUUUCUGAGACAGACAGGAUGUGUUGUAAAUUGUGGUGAGACAGUCCUGGACUAAACUUUCACAAGUUGUGAUCCAAGAAGGCUUCUGAACCCACAGCUUCCUCUAUGAAGGAUAAAACCGUGAUCGUCAGUAUUUCUUGUUAUCCAGACUAUUCAACCAUGUUAACUGGAAUAAUGGUGGUUGGUCCAGUGCUUCUUGAUUGCCACUAUUUGGGAAGAUUGUGUUGCAGAUAGGUCAGAUUCUUAAGAUGCUUCAUCAAAAUUUCCAGAUGUGUAUACAUUGUCCAGUGGAUCUAGUGGGGCCUGAAAUUUAUGGGUGCCUGAGCCAAAUUCCACUCAACCAGACAUUCACCAGCUCUCUUCUCUUGGGUCUCUCUCAUACGACUUCAGCCUAAUUUCUACAACAGUAAUGUUAAUCAUCUCCCGUCUCUUUUCUAUCUGCAAGUAGGAUUAAUCUGUAAUUUGGAGAAAAGUCUUGUACUGAUGCUUUAUUUGUGUGUAUGUGGGAAUUUCAAAAGGGCUAUUGCAUUUGGGCUGCAAAAAUUUAUUUGAUCACUGCAUAGCAGCAUAGGAGUGUUCCUUUAUUUUCUUGCUGCCAUGUAGUGAAUGCCCAGAUGUUUGCAACACAGAGACCAGAGUUUUAAAUUUAAAGGCAGUAAAAUAGAUAUAAAUUAAAUAA